UGGGGAAUAUUGCACAAUGGGCGCAAGCCUGAUGCAGCCAUGCCGCGUGUGUGAAGAAGGCCUUCGGGUUGUAAAGCACUUUCAGCGAGGAGGAAGGUGGUGAGCUUAAUACGCUCAUCAAUUGACGUUACUCGCAGAAGAAGCACCGGCUAACUCCGUGCCAGCAGCCGCGGUAAUACGGAGGGUGCAAGCGUUAAUCGGAAUUACUGGGCGUAAAGCGCACGCAGGCGGUUUGUUAAGUCAGAUGUGAAAUCCCCGGGCUCAACCUGGGAACUGCAUUUGAAACUGGCAAGCUAGAGUCUCGUAGAGGGGGGUAGAAUUCCAGGUGUAGCGGUGAAAUGCGUAGAGAUCUGGAGGAAUACCGGUGGCGAAGGCGGCCCCCUGGACGAAGACUGACGCUCAGGUGCGAAAGCGUGGGGCAGCAAACAGGAUUAGAUACCCUGGUAGUCCAGCGCUGUAAACGAUGUCGAUUUGGAGGUUGUGCCCUUGAGGCGUGGCUUCCGGAGCUAACGCGUUAAAUCGACCGCCUGGGGGAGUACGGCCGCAAGGUUAAAACUUAAAUGAAUUGACGGGGUCAU
This 578-nucleotide ribosomal RNA is filed under the name uncultured bacterium. Its description in RNAcentral is "partial 16S ribosomal RNA". It matches the Rfam family "Bacterial small subunit ribosomal RNA", at positions 355 to 922 of the family's 1533-position model. The record is from RNAcentral.